AGAGCGAACGCUGGCGGCAUGCUUAACACAUGCAAGUCGCACGGUCAGCAAUGGCAGUGGCGGACGGGUGAGUAACGCGUAGGAAUCUAUCUUCUGGUGGGGGACAACAGUGGGAAACUACUGCUAAUACCGCAUGAUGCCUGAGGGCCAAAGCAGUAAUGCGCCUGGAGAGGAGCCUGCGUCUGAUUAGCUUGUUGGUGGGGUAAAGGCUUACCAAGGCGACGAUCAGUAGCUGGUCUGAGAGGAUGAUCAGCCACAUUGGGACUGAGACACGGCCCAAACUCCUACGGGAGGCAGCAGUGGGGAAUAUUGGACAAUGGGGGCAACCCUGAUCCAGCAAUGCCGCGUGUGUGAAGAAGGUCUUCGGAUUGUAAAGCACUUUUGGCAGGGACGAUGAUGACGGUACCUGCAGAAUAAGCCCCGGCUAACUUCGUGCCAGCAGCCGCGGU
Molecule: ribosomal RNA, 449 nt
Filed under: uncultured bacterium
Lineage: Bacteria
Description: SSU rRNA
Rfam family: Bacterial small subunit ribosomal RNA
Source: RNAcentral